This 305-nucleotide unclassified non-coding RNA is filed under the name plant metagenome. RNAcentral's name for it is "partial contains 5.8S ribosomal RNA, internal transcribed spacer 2, and large subunit ribosomal RNA". The stretch from base 1 to 105 matches the Rfam family "5.8S ribosomal RNA", at positions 50 to 154 of the family's 154-position model. The record is from RNAcentral.
GAAAUGCGAUAAGUAGUGUGAAUUGCAGAAUUCAGUGAAUCAUCGAAUCUUUGAACGCACAUUGCGCCCCUUGGUAUUCCAUGGGGCAUGCCUGUUCGAGCGUCAUCUACACCCUCAAGCUCUGCUUGGUGUUGGGCGUCUGUCCCGCCCCCGCGCGUGGACUCGCCCCAAAUCCAUUGGCAGCGUUCCUUGCCCCCUCUCGCGCAGCACAUUGCGUUUCUCGAGGGCGGCUCCGGGACGCGAUCCAGCAAGAUGACCACCGUCUUUGACCUCGGAUCAGGUAGGGAUACCCGCUGAACUUAAGC